Molecule: long non-coding RNA, 69 nt
Organism: Xiphophorus hellerii (green swordtail)
Lineage: Eukaryota; Metazoa; Chordata; Actinopteri; Cyprinodontiformes; Poeciliidae
Exons: 3
Source: RefSeq, a predicted model, not a curated record
AAAAGUUUCGUACACAUGUUGUCUUAAACAUGCCAAACACAUAGGGGGCGGUGUGGCGCAAAGCUAAAA